UUGGUGGUUUGUCUCAUUGUCUGGACAGUUCGGACAAACUCAAACAUGAUGGCGAGAUAAAGAAAAUGCUGCAGAGUCAAACUUCAACACGGCAGAGGCCAUCUUUAGCUUCAGUUCCUCUGGAGUCGCGUCUGUUCCCAACCGUGUCUCUUUCAUCCAGCGGAGACGCCUUCAGACGAACUCACCUGGAGUCCCACUAACCUGGAGCUACGCAAUUUGACUGAACAGAACUGAACUGAAGAACAUGAACAUCUUGCGCGGCGAUGGGUUGAUGACCACAUGAAUCCCAACUCAAAGUCCAAGACGUUUUUGAAGAGGGUUGAAUCACACUAGCUGCCUCUUUAUGGACCAGCCUCCCGUCCUUUUUUUGACACCACCUUCCCCUGGGUGGCCUUUGUUCAACUCUCGGGGUUGAGUCCAAGGAAGCGCCUAAAAUGUAAUAACAGAGGAAGCCUGUAAGAUCUCAGGUGUGGUGGGUUAGGGUUAUUUGCACUUAAUACAGAACCACAUCACAUUUACUAAAUAAACAUUCAAAUAUGUUUUCUCAUGAAAAUGACCUCUGUGUCUUAUAAUCAUGAGAAUAUAUAUUACAUAACUUGUAGAAGUUAUUCUAUAAUAAUGAGCAACUAAAUAUCAUUACAACAGACACGUUGUUAACAUUAUGACAGCAUUUGAGUUGUUUACUUCAAAUUCAUUUUGAACCAUUAGGUUCAAGCAGUGUUAAUCAGACAGCUUUUUGGUCUUUGGUCUUACUAAAGUACAAACAUAAAAAUACCAACAACAAUGCCAUUCUUCAAUUAUUUUAGAACGGUAUUUGCAUCUAAAAUAAAUAUAAUAUAAAUAAUGUUCUGACCUCAAAUGAUAAUGCCAUAUACAUUAACCAAAGGUACCAAUGGAUCCCAAUUAGUCACAUCGAGGAAGAAAUAAAAGCAAAUUAAACAACUGGUACGACACUGGUAACAGGGUUUAGCUAGCCUACUAGCUAACGAUAACGUGGCUACAAAACAUUAGGGUGCAUGCUUGAAAAAAACAACAACCAGUUAAUACAAUGCAAAUUCAACCCACAAUAACAAAUCAGGGUCCAGCUGGAUUUGAUAGGAACACAUUUACCUUGUUAAAUUACCUUUAGGAGCAGUACGGCUGAGGAUGUGCCAUGUGUAGUAUGUGAGUAGGCGAUGCGCAUCAUCAACUUCACAAUCGGGGCAAAAGUUCUCUAAUUUCUCUCUUUCUCUUCUUAUUUUUUUUGUACUUCUUUGUAUUAAAUCUGCUUGCUGUUUGGUUUGUUCUCGUUUGGCUAUGUCAGUGGAUUGCUUACCGCUGUUCUGUGUUUGCCUGUUCCUGUUUUUGGGGUUCCUACCUGCUCCUGGUUUUUUGUAUUUUGCCUGUUCCAGUUUUUGGAUUUUGCCAUUACACCUUUGAACACUACACUGCCUGCUGCCUCUGCAAUUGGGUCCACCACAUUCUCUGGAAGACCGUAACAGUGUAACAUUAUAUUUUUCCGAUUACUCUCUUCAUGAAGUGGUGUGGACUUGAUGCCACAUGAUUUUUAAAGAGCUGUGGGCGGACUCAACCUGGCUACUGAAAAAGAAAAAAGUACUGUAGUAUACCGUAAAAUUGCACAGUAGCUUGCUGUUAAUAUUUUGUUCCUCAAAUGCCUCAAUAUUUACAGUAUUCCACUGUAUUUAGGAAAAAUUACUGUAAGAAAAAUCCUGUAUUUCUACGGUAGUUUGUUACAGUGAACGUAUCCCUAAAUAUUAAGUGAUAAACCUUCAGAGCUCUGGUUUUCUCACCAAAGGAACAUUUGCUCCUUUGCAGGCUCAGAAAAUUCACCAAAACCGGAAUGUAAUUAAAAUAUAGUCGUACCCUUUAGAAAACACAGAUCGGUCAGACUAAAGAGAUGUCUGUGUUUCGGUAUUUGUGUAAAUUAAACAUUUUAUCCGUACAAGAGUUUCACCAAGCAGCGGUAUGCUUCAUAUAGUGUCCUAUUGUAUUAAAAAAUACUGAUUUAGAUUUACUAAAAGACAUUCUCCCAGUCUUGCCGCUGCCUCCACCCCUGGUUGU
Long non-coding RNA from Perca fluviatilis (European perch), 2061 nucleotides. RefSeq lists it as uncharacterized. The transcript is spliced from 3 exons. Lineage: Eukaryota; Metazoa; Chordata; Actinopteri; Perciformes; Percidae. The record is from RefSeq and is a predicted model, not a curated record.